This 301-nucleotide ribosomal RNA is filed under the name uncultured bacterium. Its description in RNAcentral is "partial 16S ribosomal RNA". It matches the Rfam family "Bacterial small subunit ribosomal RNA", at positions 509 to 809 of the family's 1533-position model. The record is from RNAcentral.
CAGUCGCCGCGGUAAUACAGAGGGUGCGAGCGUUAAUCGGAUUUACUGGGCGUAAAGCGUGCGUAGGCGGCUUUUUAAGUCGGAUGUGAAAUCCCUGAGCUUAACUUAGGAAUUGCAUUCGAUACUGGGAAGCUAGAGUAUGGGAGAGGAUGGUAGAAUUCCAGGUGUAGCGGUGAAAUGCGUAGAGAUCUGGAGGAAUACCGAUGGCGAAGGCAGCCAUCUGGCCUAAUACUGACGCUGAGGUACGAAAGCAUGGAGCAAACAGGAUUAGAUACCCCCGUAGUCCCUGUCUCUUAUACAC